CCAGGUAUCCUGUUUGGUGGAAGCCUGCUGAGUCUAUUGGCAGAGGGAAGCCAUUGCAACUUAUGACAGCAUACAAGAUCCUAAAGCCCUGCAGCUCCCUGGAGCCAUCUUCUGGAGUAAACAGACUCUGCAACAUCAUCCACUUGCCUCCACCCCCUGCCAUAGCCCUCACCUGAGGAUGCUGUGGGCAACUGCAGGUCUCCGCCCUCCAGGCUGCUGCUGCCAGACCCCGAUACCUCCACACUUGUGUAGAAGCCCCUGCUCCCCAGGGCUCCUGCCAUCCUGCUGAACACCCUCUGCCCCUCCUAGGAAGGGAGCAGAGAAAGUCAUGUGUGUCUGCAACGAUGGGUUCGCAGGAGAUGGUCAGAUCCACUAGGGAAGCAUCUGCAUCUGCCUGGCUCACCACAUGGUAAAGCUAAUAAACAGUAACUAUUUCCCCGAAUGA
Molecule: long non-coding RNA, 445 nt
Filed under: Homo sapiens (human)
Lineage: Eukaryota; Metazoa; Chordata; Mammalia; Primates; Hominidae
Description: HSALNT0027348
Source: RNAcentral